CAGGGAGACAACAAAAUGUAAAUAUUAAUUUUGUCACCUUAGGUCGAUCGGUAUCUCAGAUUCUUAAUUUUUUAGGAAUUUCAGUUUCUAAGUUUUUUCUAGGUCACACCCAUCACUUUUUCCUGGGCCAUUAGCUCAGGUGGUUAGAGCGCACCCCUGAUAAGGGUGAGGUCCCUGGUUCAAGUCCAGGAUGGCCCAUAUCUCUAUGUUGGGGGUAUAGCUCAGUUGGUAGAGCGCCUGCUUUGCAAGCAGGAUGUCAGCGGUUCGAGUCCGCUUACCUCCACUGAAUACCACCUCUUACAUAUAUUUAAAGAGGGAAAUUGUUAUGAGUCGUGUCCUAAUUUACUCUGAGCGAAUCUAGCUUCCUAUUUUAUUCAAUAAAUAAGAUUUUAUUCAAUAAAUAAGAUGCUGGACUCAUUGAAUUUUUUUUCAUUGUUUUCAGAGAACCUUGACAACUGCAUAGAUUAUUUUUGAAGACAAUAAGCAUCUUUAAUGAUGCAGAUUUAUUAUUUGUGCGAAUGCAUUAAAUAACAAUUCUAUUAAGCUGAUGCUUCAAUUAUUGAAGUUAUU
Molecule: transfer RNA, 570 nt
Filed under: uncultured cyanobacterium
Lineage: Bacteria; Bacillati; Cyanobacteriota
Description: 16S-23S ribosomal RNA intergenic spacer
Rfam family: tRNA (bases 211-283)
Source: RNAcentral